UUGAUAAAUUGCAAAAUGUCUCCCACCAUC
Molecule: non-coding RNA, 30 nt
Filed under: Homo sapiens (human)
Lineage: Eukaryota; Metazoa; Chordata; Mammalia; Primates; Hominidae
Source: RNAcentral